This 448-nucleotide ribosomal RNA is filed under the name uncultured bacterium. RNAcentral describes it as "SSU rRNA". It matches the Rfam family "Bacterial small subunit ribosomal RNA", at positions 26 to 518 of the family's 1533-position model. The record is from RNAcentral.
AGAACGAACGCUGGCGGCAGGCUUAACACAUGCAAGUCGAACGCUCGUAGCAAUACGGGAGUGGCAGACGGGUGAGUAACGCGUGGGAACAUACCCUCCGGUUCGGAAUAGCUCAGGGAAACUUGGAUUAAUACCGGAUACGGCUGAGAGGCGAAAGAUUUAUCGCCGGAGGAUUGGCCCGCGUUCGAUUAGCUUGCUGGUGAGGUAACGGCUCACCAAGGCGAUGAUCGAUAGCUGGUCUGAGAGGAUGAUCAGCCACAUUGGGACUGAGACACGGCCCAAACUCCUACGGGAGGCAGCAGUGGGGAAUAUUGGACAAUGGGCGCAAGCCUGAUCCAGCCAUGCCGCGUGAGUGAUGACGGCCUUAGGGUUGUAAAGCUCUUUCGCUCGGGACGAUAAUGACGGUACCGAGAUAAGAAGCCCCGGCUAACUUCGCGCCAGCAGCCGC